RNAcentral lists this transfer RNA (70 nucleotides) under Loxodonta africana (African savanna elephant). It matches the Rfam family "tRNA". From Rfam's summary of the family: Transfer RNA (tRNA) molecules are approximately 80 nucleotides in length. Their secondary structure includes four short double-helical elements and three loops (D, anti-codon, and T loops). The record is from Rfam by way of RNAcentral. Lineage: Eukaryota; Metazoa; Chordata; Mammalia; Proboscidea; Elephantidae.
GCAGUGGUAGUUCAAUGGUAGAAUUCUUGCCUUCUAUGCCAGAGACCCAGGUUCAAUGCCUGGCAAUGCA